UCUUCUUCUUCUUUUCUUUUCUUCUUCGACCGAGACCCAAGCCACAGCGCGCCGCAUGCCGCCUGAGCUCAACGCUGCCGCGCCGUCGCGCGCAGCCUCCCCUGCGCAACCUCCACCAGCUCCACUCUCUUGACCACCUCCACCUCAGCUCAACCUCUACCAGCUCGCCAUCGCCGCCGCCGUCCAGCCCUGAGCUCCACCGCACGGUCGCUCCCACCACUGCAGCAGAUCCAGCUCAGCCGCCUGCCCACGCCCCACAGCCCAGCGCCGCAACAGCUUGCUGCUGCCUCCAACCCCACACGACACACAGCGCCCGAACUGCCAUCGCCGAUCGCCGCCAGUCUCCCAGCUCCCCCUCUGCGCUCUCUCCACUUCGUGAACCAGCCGCACUUAAGCUCACCUCCACCAGCUCUCCCUCGCACGCCACUAGCUGCUCCGCUGCUCGCUCCAUUCCCACCUGUCCAAAUUGACAGGUGGAGGAGUUAGAGGGAUGAAUAUUGAGGUGAUGAAGUAGAGGUGAUAAGAACAUACCAUAUUUCCCAAAGGCUCCAAGAUAUUGAGGCAUAACACUUGGUAAGGUGUCGUCAGAGAUAUUAUUAUUCUUGGUUUGGGCUUCUUUAUGCAGGGUUGACAUCUCUUUGAAGACUCAUGGAGCAGCUUGUAAGGGUUUCCUCUGAAACCCUUGUUCUUUUAGAAGUUUCUCGAGCUUCCUCGGCCUAAACCAUACCCAGUUCAAUGCUUGCCAUGACACUACUACUACUAGAAGAAGAAGAAGAAGAAGACAAGAAGAAUAUACAGUAAACAUUGACACAUAGAUGGUUUCCAUCAUGUGUUUUUGUUUUGUUGGUUUUCUUGUGAGAUUUCUACCUCUGUUGUGUGUAUAUUUACAUUGGAGUGGGGGCUAUGCAUCCAUUUACUUCAAGACAAAGGAAAUGAUUAAGAAAUAAAAGAGAUGAUAAUUAUCGAAAGUGAAGGGAGAAAAUUUGACCUA
This is a non-coding RNA of Coffea arabica (coffee), 991 nucleotides long. NCBI's taxonomy places the organism in Eukaryota, Viridiplantae, Streptophyta, Magnoliopsida, Gentianales, Rubiaceae. The record is from RefSeq and is a predicted model, not a curated record.